UACAGAGGGGGCAAGCGUUGUUCGGAAUUACUGGGCGUAAAGGGCGCGUAGGCGGCCCUCUAAGUCGGACGUGAAAUCCCUCGGCUCAACCGGGGAACUGCGUCCGAUACUGGUGGGCUCGAAUCCGGGAGAGGGAUGUGGAAUUCCAGGUGUAGCGGUGAAAUGCGUAGAUAUCUGGAGGAACACCGGUGGCGAAGGCGGCAUCCUGGACCGGUAUUGACGCUGAUGCGCGAAAGCCAGGGGAGCAAACGGG
RNAcentral lists this ribosomal RNA (253 nucleotides) under uncultured bacterium. RNAcentral's name for it is "partial 16S ribosomal RNA". It matches the Rfam family "Bacterial small subunit ribosomal RNA", at positions 524 to 776 of the family's 1533-position model. The record is from RNAcentral.